This 2584-nucleotide ribosomal RNA is filed under the name Clostridioides difficile. RNAcentral describes it as "bacterial LSU rRNA". It matches the Rfam family "Bacterial large subunit ribosomal RNA", at positions 3 to 2609 of the family's 2925-position model. Lineage: Bacteria; Bacillati; Bacillota; Clostridia; Peptostreptococcales; Peptostreptococcaceae. The record is from RNAcentral.
UCAAGUUAUUAAGGGUGCAGGGCGGAUGCCUUGGCACUAGGAGCCGAUGAAGGACGUGAUAAGCUGCGAUAAGCUUCGGGGAGUUGCACGUAAACUUUGAUCCGAAGAUUUCCGAAUGAGGAAACUCACUUAGAGUAAUGUCUAAGUAUCAUUAAGUGAAUACAUAGCUUAAUGAGGGGAACUCAGGGAACUGAAACAUCUAAGUACCUGAAGGAAGAGAAAGAAAUUCGAUUCCGUAAGUAGCGGCGAGCGAACGCGGAUUAGCCCAAACCAAUAAAGUUUUCUUUAUUGGGGUUGCGGACAUAUCAUAACGAAGAGGUAUCGUAAUUGAAGAGGUUUGGAAAGACCCACCACAGAAGGUAAUAGUCCUGUAUGUUAAACGAGAAGACUUCAGAUAUGAUCCAGAGUACCACGGGACACGUGAAACCCUGUGGGAAGCAGGAGGGACCACCCUCCAAGGCUAAAUACUACCUAGUGACCGAUAGCGUAUAGUACCGUGAGGGAAAGGUGAAAAGAACCCCGGGAGGGGAGUGAAAUAGAACCUGAAACCCUGCACUUACAAGCUGUGGAAGCACAUUUCUUGUGUGACCGCGUACUUUUUGUAGAACGGGCCAACGAGUUACGUUAAGUAGCAAGGUUAAGCACUUAAGGUGCGGAGCCGUAGCGAAAGCGAGUUUUAACUGAGCGUUCAGUUACUUGACGUAGACCCGAAACCGGGCGACCUACCCAUGAGCAGGAUGAAGCGAAAGUAAAAUUUCGUGGAGGUCCGAACCCACGAGCGUUGAAAAGCUCGGGGAUGACUUGUGGGUAGCGGUGAAAUUCCAAUCGAGCCCGGAGAUAGCUGGUUCUCCCCGAAAUAGCUUUAGGGCUAGCCUCAAGGUGAGAGAUACGGAGGUAGAGCACUGAAUGUCCUAGGGGGUAUUGCACCUACCGAAGACUAUCAAACUCCGAAUGCCGUCAUCUUAUACUUGGGAGUCAGACUGUGGGUGAUAAGAUUCAUAGUCGAAAGGGCAACAGCCCAGAUCGUCAGCUAAGGUCCCUAAAUGUAAGUUAAGUGGUAAAGGAUGUGGGAUUGCACAGACAACCAGGAUGUUGGCUUAGAAGCAGCCACUCAUUCAAAGAGUGCGUAAUAGCUCACUGGUCGAGUGAUCCUGCGCCGAAGAUUUCCGGGGCUAAAACUUACUACCGAAGCUACGGCAUCAGUAAUGAUGGGUAGGGGAGCUUCCCAUACGGGUUGAAGCAUGACCGUAAGGACAUGUGGACAGUAUGGGAGUGAGAAUGUUGGCAUGAGUAGCGAGAUGUGGGUGAGAAUCCCACAGGCCGUAAACCCAAGGUUUCCAGGGGAAGGUUCGUCCGCCCUGGGUUAGUCGGGACCUAAGCUGAGGCCGAAAGGCGUAGGUGAUGGACAACAGGUUGAUAUUCCUGUACUACCGAUAACCGUUUGAGAGAAGGGAUGACACAGUAGGAUAAGCUAAGCACACUGUUGGUUAUGUGUGCCCAAGCAUUGAGGCAGUCAAAGUAGGCAAAUCCGCUUUGAUAAUGCUGGGAUGUGAUGGGGAGCGAAAUUUAGUAGCGAAGUAGCUGAUUUCACACUGUCAAGAAAAGUCUCUAUCGAGGUUAAAGGUACCCGUACCGCAAACCGACACAGGUGGGUGAGGAGAGUAUCCUAAGGCCAGCGAGAGAACUGUUGUUAAGGAACUCGGCAAAAUGACCCCGUAACUUAGGGAUAAGGGGUGCCACCAUCAGGUGGCCGCAGAGAAUAGGCCCAAGCGACUGUUUACCAAAAACAUAGGUUUCUGCUAAGUCGCAAGACGAUGUAUAGGAGCUGACGCCUGCCCGGUGCUGGAAGGUUAAGGGGAUCUGUUAGAGCAAUCGAAGCAGUGAACUUAAGCCCCAGUAAACGGCGGCCGUAACUAUAACGGUCCUAAGGUAGCGAAAUUCCUUGUCGGGUAAGUUCCGACCCGCACGAAAGGCGUAACGAUUUGGGCACUGUCUCAACAACAGACUCGGUGAAAUUGUAAUUCCGGUGAAGAUGCCGGAUACCUGCGACAGGACGGAAAGACCCCAUGGAGCUUUACUGUAGCUUGACAUUGGGUCUUGGUACUACAUGUACAGGAUAGGUGGGAGGCUUUGAAACCAGGACGCCAGUUUUGGCGGAGCCAUCCUUGGGAUACCACCCUUGUAGUACUGGGACUCUAACCAUAGGCCAUGAAUCUGGUCUUGGGACACUGUCAGGUGGGCAGUUUGACUGGGGCGGUCGCCUCCCAAAAGGUAACGGAGGCGCUCAAAGGUUCUCUCAGUACGGUCGGAAAUCGUACGUAGAGUGUAAAGGCAAAAGAGAGCUUGAUUGCAAGACAUACAGGUCGAGCAAGGAUGAAAAUCGGACUUAGUGAUCCGGUGGUUCUGCGUGGAAGGGCCAUCGCUCAACGGAUAAAAGCUACCCUGGGGAUAACAGGCUUAUCUCCCCCAAGAGUCCACAUCGACGGGGAGGUUUGGCACCUCGAUGUCGGCUCAUCACAUCCUGGGGCUGUAGUAGGUCCCAAGGGUUGGGCUGUUCGCCCAUUAAAGUGGUACGCGAGCUGGG